GGGGAAUCUUCCGCAAUGGGCCCAAACCUGACGGAGCAAGACUGCGUGCGGGAGGACGGCCUAUUGGUUGUAAACCGCUUUUCCAUAUGGAAGAACUUCAGACGGUACCUAUCGAAUAAGCAUCGGCUAAUUCCGUGCCUGCAACCGCGAUAAUACGGAGGAUGCAAGCGCCAUCCCGAAUUAUUGGGCCCAAAGCGUCCGUAGGGGGUUGCUCAAGUAAGUUGGUAUAGCGUGAGGCUUACACGCAUACCAACAGUGGAAAAUCAGCGUAUAGAGUACGGUAGGGGUCAGGGGAAUUCCCAGUGUAGCGCUGAUUAAUCUAGAUAUUGGGAAGAACACCAGCGACGAAAGGGCGUGAAGGGGAAAGAAGAGACACCCACCGCCGAAUACUAGGGGAGUGAAUGGGAUUAGAUACAACAGUAGUAGUC
RNAcentral lists this ribosomal RNA (428 nucleotides) under uncultured Oscillatoria sp. Its description in RNAcentral is "bacterial SSU rRNA". It matches the Rfam family "Bacterial small subunit ribosomal RNA", at positions 356 to 795 of the family's 1533-position model. Lineage: Bacteria; Bacillati; Cyanobacteriota; Cyanophyceae; Oscillatoriales; Oscillatoriaceae. The record is from RNAcentral.